RNAcentral lists this non-coding RNA (31 nucleotides) under Mus musculus (house mouse). The record is from RNAcentral. Lineage: Eukaryota; Metazoa; Chordata; Mammalia; Rodentia; Muridae.
UACUUAUUGGUGAACUCAUGAUCUGCUUGGU